This 72-nucleotide transfer RNA is filed under the name Camelus bactrianus (Bactrian camel). It matches the Rfam family "tRNA". From Rfam's summary of the family: Transfer RNA (tRNA) molecules are approximately 80 nucleotides in length. Their secondary structure includes four short double-helical elements and three loops (D, anti-codon, and T loops). Lineage: Eukaryota; Metazoa; Chordata; Mammalia; Artiodactyla; Camelidae. RNAcentral also lists the same sequence under 2 other names. The record is from Rfam by way of RNAcentral.
GAGGGUAUGGCUCAGUGGUAGAGUGCGUGCUUAGCACGCAUGAGGUCCUGGGUUCAAUCCCCAGUACCUCCA